UCCUCCGUGGCGCAAUUGGCUAGCGCGUCUGACUGUUAUUCGACUUAAAUUCGACGUUAUUUCGGAUCUCAAAAAUCAGGAGGCUGGUGGUUCGAGCCCACCCGGGGGAG
Non-coding RNA from Westerdykella ornata, 110 nucleotides. The record is from the annotation of a RefSeq genome assembly. Lineage: Eukaryota; Fungi; Ascomycota; Dothideomycetes; Pleosporales; Sporormiaceae.